UUGUCACACAUUAGUUACAGUUCAAGUUAAGCCACAAUUUUUUUUAUUAGUUAGUGGGAGUUUUGGAGACUGUUAUCCAAAAUUAUUGUCUUAAUGUUUAAGAAAAAAAACAUUGAAUUACAACUAAGAAUAAUAUUUUUGUGCAGUAAGAAAAAAUAUUAGUGAUCCAAAAAAAUAUAAAUUGAACAAUCAGCCAGCAGCUACCAUACGCAAAAAAAUACGGUUAAUCUCUAGGACAGUGUUGUCAUUCUGGAAGUCCGCUCCUCAUAAGAAAAAAAAACAAUAAUAGUAAUGCUUUGCACAGAGGCACAAACAAGUGAGUGACUUUUAAAUUUACCACUUAAUCCACACAUUCCAUAAUUUAUUUACAUUUAUUAAUAAAAUAUUCUGUGUUUCUUUCUCAUGUUUUUCAUAGAAUUCUAAAGAAAAACUGUAGACUUGACUUUGAGGGAGGAGACAGACCUUAAAAAAGAGGAUGCUACAAGGAGUUCACGGCAAAUUUUCCAGAAGUAAUUCUUCCGUACGGCUAUACCGAUGUUGUUCUUCCAGUUGAGGAGCUUGAGUCUGGGCUGUCUGCUCAUCCACAAUGGGGGCAUGGUCUUCUGUUGAUGUUUGGUCAACGAUGACAGAUGACGAUGGUGAAAAGCAUGUUGCUUGAAUAUUUUCAACAGGACUUCCCUCUACACAAAGAACAGUUUGUUAUAACUUACGUGGAGGAGUAGUGGGCAUCUCUCCACUUCCGAAGGCUGCUACUGGUGGGAUCCGAAUCCGAGUUACUAACGCUGUUAAAUCUAGAAUAAAAUCAGCACAAGCCAAGGUACUUACCAGAACUAGGCUGAGGCGUGCUUGGGGCUGAUCGCCCUGCAGAUUUUUUUCGGUGAUCUGGAAAACAUCAAGGA
Bombina bombina (fire-bellied toad) is the source of this 899-nucleotide long non-coding RNA. RefSeq lists it as uncharacterized. The transcript is spliced from 4 exons. NCBI's taxonomy places the organism in Eukaryota, Metazoa, Chordata, Amphibia, Anura, Bombinatoridae. The record is from RefSeq and is a predicted model, not a curated record.